RNAcentral lists this long non-coding RNA (44561 nucleotides) under Hordeum vulgare. Its description in RNAcentral is "long non-coding RNA (HVUL_LNC015193)". Lineage: Eukaryota; Viridiplantae; Streptophyta; Magnoliopsida; Poales; Poaceae. The record is from RNAcentral.
UCCCGUCCACCAGCCGAGCAAGGAAGGAAGGGAGCGAGCCUGAGAUAGAAAUUGCACGUAGAAUGUAACAUGUGAAGCAAAGUUCGUUUGUUUAAUUUUCCCCACCAUUAAUCUAAGCACGAUUAUACAUAUUGUUAUUAAUAUUCCUUCAUCAUCAGUUCAUCAUGGAGGCGAAAGAUUUUCUCGUUUCAUUUCAUUUUGGUUUUGGUUUUCUUGUGGUUAGCAAGGGCGAGACGAAGUCCAGACCCGAAUGGACGGGAGUGUUUUGACUGUGUGCGUGAUGUGAUGAUUUAAUAGGGUAACUAAAGUUGGUUUUGGUUGUUAAGACUUCUGUGGUCGAAGAAUGUCGAUCGACGAUGCCUUCCGUGCUGGCCUCCGUUGGCUUCGUGCGACGCAUGCGUUCGAUUGCUAGAUGUCGACGUUAAUCUUUGCUAACCACACAUCGCCGCGGCGUACUUGCUCCGGGAGAGAGCUCCAGCUCCUGGUUCCGGCUGACCUCGUCGGUCGCUGUCUUCCCCCUCGCCAUCGGUUUUGAGCAAGUGCAUGCACACACCGUCCUCCCCGAAAGCGAGCGUGGACUCGGUACUCUGCACUCUGCCCUGGUGGUGGUAGAGCUUUGCCGUGAACAUUUCGUUGGAGGAAUGGACGGUCUGGGAGGGCCAUCUCAUGAAAAUUGAGGGGGUGUUUGUUUCGGGAGAAAAUCCCCGUAACCUGUUUACUGUGUAAAAUCCAAAACGUUAAAACAUGUCUAGCAGAUACUGCAAAAACAUGAAUACUAUAAAGUUUCGGUGAGUUUGCGGGUCGUGCCCAGUUUGUUACGCAGAGCAGACUCCGCAUCUGCAGCCCGUCCCGCAAACGUUUUUCGCGAAUCCGCAAAUGUAUGCGGGGUAGGCAUAAAAGCCGUUUGGGCUCCCAUUUGCGGGGCCAAACCCUCAUCUUCGUCGCCGAAUUAGUCGCCGCCGUUCCCCUCCCUUCCCUAGCUCCAACCGCCCAAUUCGCUCGUCAUGGACGCCAUUCCUCCGCAUCUGCGGCAGGAGCGGCGCAGGUGCGGUGCCGUCGAUGCCGCGCGGAAGCGGUCGUCGCAUAAGUGGACGGGGAGGGGGCUCCCGAUGCCGGCGUCGCUGCUGCGGCGGGAGACCGAGGAGUUCGACAUCCGCCAGAGUCUCGUGACGGCCCCCGCGCCUCCCUGUUCGCCACCGCCGGAGUUCGAGGCUGGGAGCUCCUCCGGCACCUGGACCCUCUCCAUCACGGCGUCGUCACCGUACACUCCGGCCCGCGAGGUCGCCGUCGACGAGGACGGCUUCGAGAUCUACGAUCCGGCCGCCUUCGAGGGAUCGGUGACCCGCGAGGACUUCGUCCCCGAGGAGGUUCUCGCCACGGUGACCGGCAUGGUCGCGACGCGCUCCGCGGAGGAGGUCGAACACGACGACAAGCGCCGUCGUCGUGAGGUCGACAUCGAUCAGCUCUUCUCCUGGCCGACACCCCGUGCGUGCCGCCCCAGCUCGCCCUCGUCGCAGGUCGGACUGUUCGCUGCAAGGUGCAAGCUCCCUCCCUACUCCGUCCUCCUUCUGUCACGAGUCCUUCAUCAUCCUCCCUUGUCUACUCUCCUCCCCGUCCCUUGUCUUCUCUCUUCCUUUGCAGCCACCAGCCAACCCUGAAAUAAAACACCAUAACUCUGAUUACUUUACAGGCAUCAACCAAAGAAAGCAUGGAUUUAUCCAUUAUAUUCCCGUUACCAGCGUGAUCUAAUUCCCUUACCGUUUACAUUACCAUUCUCUGGUCCAAACACCUACUGAAUUGCAAUUUACUAGUCUUGUGUAUUGCCAUACUCCAUGUAAUUUAUUUCUGGGGAAAAUGAGUUUUAUUCCACAAUUAUAGUGUUACAAGAUGCAAAAGUUUCUCAAUACAUGGGGUCCUAGGUGUAGUCGUACAUCAGUGCUGCACUCUGUGCGUCUAUACAUCGUCUUUCGAUCCGCUAUCCUGCUUUGUUCCCGUCUGAGCUUCUUUGGAACGAACUCCAUGUCUUCCAUCAACGAGUGGAUCUCGGCAACAAGAUGUGCAUAUGCUAAACAUCUAAACUCCCUAAAUUAAUCCUAAAGCUUAGUGAGCUUACGUGAGUUCUUGUCGUUUUCCAAGCGUACAACGUCGGGACCGUUGGAUUUGUGCCCACGAAUCUUGACACGGGUUAAUCAUCACGUCACCAAUAGAAUCCAUUCGCUCAAGGCCUUGUUCGGUUACAACGGUUUUGAAUGGGAUUGGAGUGGAUUGGGAAGGAUUAAAUCCUGUGUAAGUCAAAUUCCACCUCAAUCCCCUUCAAUCCUCUCCAAUACCCUUGUGAUGGGGAUUAACCAAACAAGCCCCAAGGGAUAUGUGCAUGAUUCCACUUCUUUUAUGUCUAGGUCCUGAAACAGAUGGGGGCUCCUAAUAUUUUGACGAGUAUAAUUUUCCACCCGCAUAUCUGUUACUUGAGCGAGCUACAUUGUUUUUUUAAAGGAAGGGUGAAGCAAUAUAGUAGCGAUAAGAUUUUUUCCCAAUGAGAAUAAAGGUUAUCGAAUCAGUAAAAGAAUCAAAUCAAACUCUUGUCAUGAGCAUCUACACACACAAAACUAAACAGUUGCACUCAACGCGGGUAAAAGGGUUGUAAAGCCCCUUGAACUUAUUACCUCCAAUAAUUAAUUCUAAUAAUGAGGGGGUUGUACAUUAGGGAUAGGUCCACAGACCUGCCUCCAGGGCCCACAUAAGACCCACAUGGACAUCAAUGUACCAAAGAUCACCGUUGCAGUCAAGGUCUUACUUGGGCAAACAGGUUCUCACUCAGUUUUCACAAGGCCACUCGGAUCGUCUAAUGUCAGUCGGACGUGCCUUGACACUCAAACUACAGCAAGGCAUGGGCAACGAAGGGACUGCAACGAUUACAAACUAAAACUACCACAUGAAGUGCACUGAAGACGCGCAUUACCAGUAACGUCGGAGUUAGAGCUGCUGUUACUAAUAAGUUCCAUCGUUAUUAGUAUUAACUCACCCUUGUAGUGGCGCUCGGCCGGUCGUGGCGCACUCUAUGUAAACCGCACCUGAGCUCCUGAAGAGGGGUUGAGCAUUCUGUAAUCUCACACCCCCCAUAAGCAAACGGUAGCCUCCACGCUCGAGACGUAGGGUUGUUACCACUUCCGAGUGGGGAUCGAACUCGUACAUCCGAGUGUAUCCAUUGUGCCAUAGCUAGGCUCCGCCCCUCACUCGUACCCUGGUAUUAUUUUUGGGAUCACUUCCACGACAGUUGGCACCCACCAUGGGGUUGCACGUUUAGAAAAUUCGGCGCGGUUGGAGUUUUCACCUUUUUCGUCAUCAUGAUGACGCUCGACGAAUAGAUUCUCUUCGGCUCCCUCAGCUUCGUUGUUGAUGACUCGGCGUGGCUGCAGGACGCGCUAUUGGACACAUACGCCCUUCCGGCUUGAGAUACAUCGCACUUCAACGCGGUUGCGCACAAACUCCUAAUCCGACAGCCAUCAGUGCCAUUUCAAUCGAUGCCCCCACAUCCCACCGCGGUCCGUCACAAGCGUUCUUGGCGCUCGCGACUGCAGCGAUGGAUAAAGCACGCGGUGGCCUAUCAGGCCACAUCGGGGAAGGUGGCCAUGCUCGAUUUGGACGAGCCCACCGUCAGCCUCUUCCCUUAAUCGGGCGACGGAUCGUUCGACGAUUCUGACUACAAAAGCAGUGGAGAUGUCGCGGAGAUCUUGAUGGCCGACACGGCCAGGGGAGGAGCCUCUGUCUUCAUCGCGGAGAACUAUCAUGGACACGCUUGCGGAGAGAAUCGCUAUGGCGACGACAACCGUCACGUCGAACAGUCGCUCACGGAGCAGCAAUGGGAGGAAUUUGGGCGGAGGAGCGAUCAAGCUCUUCGUACUCCCAUCACCGGGAACACCAUAGAGGAGAUAGCGCUGGAGAAUGCGCGCCACGCCACUCUGGCCGAGCGCGAGCGGCUUGAGCGACUUCAGCAAUCACUCGACGCCCGAGCUGCAAGGGACCAACCGAGUUCCACCCACAACCGCCGGCAGUUGUUUCCGAAUGACCACCAGCGCAACAUCGAGGUGAUGCGAACACCUCUGCAGAACCUAGCCACCGCCACUCGGAUCGCUGAUCCAUUCAGCUAGUGAUUCCGUGACCGGAGAAGGCAUUUGGUAGAUCCAGACUCUGCUGAAGACUACCUUGCAGCAAAACUCUGCAAUAUCGCAAUCACAGUACCAUAUCCAUAGCAGGUCCGUCCAAGCGGACACGGUGCAGUCGUCUCAUUGCCCUCACGCGCCCGGAAGACGUCAAAGAUCUCCCCCCUCCUUCGAGAGGCCCGCACGAGGAUCAGAGACAUGAUCAUCGGAUUCCUAGCAGGACACCUCCCCUGAGGAGUGGUUCACUAGGACACCGACCAUAUGACCACAGGCCAAGACCCAAUCGGCAUAGGGGUUAUGGGGAGGACGGCCACCGAGCUCCCCAGUUCAACGCGAGGUCCAUAAUCACGCAGAAUGUGGUUGACUGAUCGCGAGCGGGCUAGGGAGUAUGUGGCCUCGAGUGCUUGGGUCGACACAUCCGUGACGCGGAGCUCCCCUUCAACUACUGAUUCGACACGGGGAUCGCAAGUUUAACGGUGAGUCCAAGCUGGAGACUUGGCUCAAAGAUUACCUAGUGGCUAUCCAGAUAGGCGAUGGCAACGACUUCGUCACGAUAAAGCACCUGCCCCUCAUGAUGGAGGGAUCAGCGAGGGUGUGGCUCAAUCGACUUCCCCCAUUAGCAUCCAUAGCUGGGGGGGGGGACCUCGCCUGAGUGUUUGUAAAAUUGUUCGAAGGCACCUACAAGCGCCCAGGUGGCUUGACGAAACUACAACAUUGCAUCCAGAAGAGCAACGAGACUCUCAUAGAGUACAUCCAACGAUGGACCACAUUGCAUAACACCAUGGAGAACAUCACCAAACAUCACGCCGUGCGCGCUUUCAAGGCAGACACUUAGUUCCGGAAGCUCAUUCUCAAACUUGGUCGAUCAGGGGGAGCUGUCCCAGUGUCGGGCAAUGGAGAUCGCCAAUCGGCACGUGAAUGGCGAGGAAGAAGACCGCCUUCAUAGCGACAAAGGACGAGCCUGCGAUGCCCAUCCAUCGGGCAACGCGGGGAAAAAGCAGAAGUGAAAGGGCGACCCAUUAGGGAAAGCCGAAGUAGAUGUUGUCCCGGGGCAAGGUCAGAGAAAGUCCAAGCAAAAGAAGAAGAAAGAUUGGGCAUACAAAAAGAAAACCGAGUCCAAGAGCCACCUUGUGGACCAACCGUGUCCGAUCCACGCCAGGAAGGAUGACGAUGGGGAGAUCAUUCCCGCCAAGCACACGGUGCGAGACUAUCUCCUGCUCUGGUAGGAGAUGGGCGAAGAAUCAUGCGGGGACAAGGAUGGUGGGGAUGGCCAAGAGGCUACCUCGGGUAGCCGAAUAUCAAGAAGGUCCUCAUGAUCUUGGUCGACAUCGAGAGUUAGAGAUGAUUGAAUGUAGCAACCCGACUCAAAACGAGUCAAGUCUCUAUGUAUCUGUGCCAUCCCUGGAUCAGUAUGCUGGCACACACAGUACAUCAAUGUAUAUAUCAAAGUGCAAACACAUGUAAAUAACAUAAAAUUGAUAUAUACCUCAAAAUCUCAGCGGAAACAGUCAAGGGAGUGGAGUCCCAAUAAACACCAACGGCAGGUUGAGUGCAGACCGUAACCCUGAAUCAUACUCUUACUCGUCGAAGAAAAUAUCUGCAACAUAAGACGUUGCAGCCGUGUAGGUCAGCAUAUUGAAUAUGCCGGCAAGUCACAAAAGAGGGGUGAAAACAUCAUAUAUACUACGUGCAUAUAUGGCAGGUGGGGAUGUAGUUUAAGUUUUGCGUAAAGCAAAUUUUCCUACAACAAGAGAGAGGGUAAAAGCAAAAAUUUACUACAUUGUUGGUUGUUAAUGAGAAGGUUCCACCAAAUAUUUCUCAUACCCAGGUUAUAAAUAUUACCCACAUCAAUAAGUUAAUGGUGUUGAGAAUUCCUGAUAGUUUCAGUUCCUUUGCCUCAAGUUGUCCAUGACUGUGGACACGGCUAAUCGAUUAGGUUUGAGUACUCUGUAGAGUUUUGCACUCGUUUCCCACAAGAUUUGAUCACCCCCGUUGAAGUCCCCGCACUUCAGGGUGUUUGAGAACCGGAUGAUCAAAACAUGGUCUUUCAACGGGUUCCUCUGAGCCUGUGUCGGUGCCCAUCCAAUCCUACCGUUCUUCUACAUCUCGUAGCACCACCCGUCCAGAGUCACCACGUUGUCCAACCAAGCGAGAGCCCAUAAUGACUUGUGGCUGUGCACGUAAGCCUUGGGUCUUGAAAUAUCCAUCCAUCUCUUUGAGCUUGGGUGAAGCUUUCCGCAAGAUGUCAUGACGCUUCUCCAUGCAUCCCGGGUCCUCCACUGGGUUUUGUUUUCCCAGGGAGCCCAUAUGAACCGUCCUUCACCCACAGAUAUAUUUCAUUUUGAGGUCUUGCAAGUCUUGGAGUUUUCAGGUCUUGAUUAUUAAGUUUCUCACAACACUCAUGAUAAACACUCAACCAAACCCCGUCUACUAGGAGCAUAUCAAUAUAACGUCCCGACCAAAGUAAGAAGGGUUUAGGGGGUGCUUAUCAUAACAUACAACUCAAUAACCAAAGUUUCCAAGUACCUACUUGCAUGUAAUGGGUGAAGAAGGUUGGAACUAAUGCAAUAAAACCAUAGGUAAAAAUAUGAUCAAUGUGAACUUGCUGGUAUUACUUGAUGAAGAUAGUCGCUCUCAUAAUCCUGAUAAUUCUACUCGUCACACUCCGAGCAAUCUAUCGUAAACAAAUACCAUUCAAUAAAGAUUCAUGCGAUAAAGGAAGAACCAAAAGAACAUAAGAACAAAACAUGUCUUGGUGCAAAAUAACAACAUACUAAGGUUUAAUAAAAAAAGGUUCUAAGUGUGUUGUAAAGUGAAGGUGCAGGAAUGAGAUCAAAAGAGUUAAUGGACGAUGAUCUAUUUCUAUAUACGCUUAGAGUGGAGAUACUAUGAAAGACGAUCCCAACUAUGCGGAAAACAACAUGAAUGACAAAUAGCAUAGGACAUAAGAAUUCAGUUGCGAAAAAAGAAUUAAUUAAAAUGGAGCACUACAACGCAAGUUAUAGCAAAUUGAAGUAUGAACAUAAUUUGAAUUCCAUAAAGUUCAAAAGUAUUUGAAUUGGAGCAUGGUUGUUAUGAAUAGAAAGUACAUAACACGAGCGUUUAAGGGCAAAAGAAAUCAAUGGAGAAGGUGUUACUGUUUGCAAGGUAAGAUCAAAUGAAUGUUCGAAUACAAAUUUGAAUCGCUCAAAUUUGUAAGGUUCAAAGGUCGAAACUAAUGAUUCUACUGGAUAUAGGAGAUCAAUAUGAACAUGUAGAAAAAAGAAUUACUAGAUUUGAAAUAGCGAAUCAAAAGAUACAAAUACUUCAAUAUAACAUUGAAUCAACUUAGAGCGAUGUGAACACUUUUGGGCACUAAUAGAUAAAUCUGAUUUGAUCAAAAUUAUAAGUUGAAAAUUUAAAACUAACGAUACAAACGGGAAGAUUACUUUGAUACGAAUCCGACGCAAUUGGAUUCAUUUAAAACGAAGCUAUGGCUAAGAAGAUAUGAUCAAAAGAAGUUUGAAUAUGAGUGUGAAAAUUUCAAAAAGUUGAUAUGAUAGGUUCACCGGAUAGGUGGGAUCAAGAAGAAACUCUAGGCAUUGGUUUCAUCUAAUUUGGAUAAACGGGUAAAAAGUUAUGGUUAUUUGAAAAAUGAGGGCCAAGUUGUUUUACGAAAAAAUGCUAUGUCUAAUAGAAUUUUAGGGCUGAUGUGUAAAUACGGAGACUAAUUGAUAAAUCUAAUUACUCUACCGUAUACUAGUGUUGGAAUACUAGUCUAGAAAUAAUAAACUACGGGAGUAUAAAAGAAAAAUACGAAGAGAAAUACCUUUAGAAUGCAGAGUAAGAAUUAAUUCGACGACUUCGAGAAAUCCCGCCGAAGAGAAGAGAAUAUUUUUAUUUAAUAAAUCUAGUUAAACCAAAAGAUUGAUUUAUGUUCAUAGAUGAUUUUUGGAUGCUUCUAUGGAGCUAUAUUUAUAGGUGAAAGGGAGGUUUAAUGGUCUAUCGAUAGGCAAUGUGGGACUAAACAUAUACGAAAAGAGGAGAAAAGAAGAGAGGACAUGGCACACUCACGUGCAUGGGCCAUUGAUUCGGCCGCCCGCAUGAGUAGUUCCGGCCAGCCGUGGCCUCUUUUUUUUUAUGAACAAUGUUUUUUUUGGAAAAAAAAGAAAAAAAACAGUGAAGAAAAACGUAUAAACGAAAUUGAGAGAACAUUUUAUAUAGGCAUAUUAUAUAUCAAAACUUUCAGAAUAAAUUUUCCUAUAACAUGAACAUAUUUUCAAGACAAAAUAAAAUACUUUUUUAAAAAUUAUUUUUUUGCAAUAACUUUAAAAUGAAAAGGAAUUUGAUUUUCAAAUAAAUUGCAGAUACUUAAAAUUUGAAUCAAGACAUUGUCCAUGAUUUUGGAGUGUCAUUUUCCUCCUCUCAUUUGGUUUUUGUUUAUCAGAGGGUUUUAAAAAUAUUCAAACUCAAAAUUGAAUAGAGAUUCAAAUUAGAAAUUUUCUGAAAGUCAUUUUAUUCCCUCUCAUUCAAAAGUUUCAAAUCUCGCUCAAUUUCAAACAAGCAAUCAAAAAAUCAUCAUUCUAGUAAAUAUAUUAACAUACCAAAAUUUGGGUUGUUACAAACCUACCAGACUUAAAAUGAAUCUCGUCCUCGAGAUUCGAAAAGGCUAGAAAGGUUAGGGUUUUGGAGGUCUUCUAACAAAUCCAAUCUCCUGCAAAGUGGGGUGCUACCACACUUAAAAUGAGAGUAACCGGUCCGUGAAGUAUUUACAAUCCUCUGGCUCUUGGCAUCAGACUCCUCACAUUCUUCAUACUAACACCUUUGGUGAUCCUCUUCCAUUAUAUUCAUAAUGUUUCCAUCAAAAUCGAGUGCUUUUCUGUUGACAUAAGCUUCUUCCAUCACUGGGUCCUCUUAACUGAUAGGUCUCGUGAUCAUUCUAAAUAACUUAUCGAUGAUUCUCAUGGUGGUCUAUCAUUUGUGGUUAUCUUGCAGUGAAAUGGGUCUUGGCUUCAUCCUCACCGUAAAAUUCCUACGUUUGGCAACAACUGCCAAGGAUAAGGGGUCUCCAUCAUACCAUUCUAAGAUUUAAACAAAAGCUUCAAAGAACGUCGUCUCUCUAUAUGGGUAAGUCUCUCAGAUUUACCAUUCCGAAUAGCAAGAGAAUGAUAAGAGUCAGUCGUCAUGGUGGCCAAGCCAUGUCGCACUGAGAUCAUUACCUUGUAUAAGGUUUAGCGAAUCUCGUAUUCUAACACUUGGGCGUCCUCACAUGCGUUGCAGGAUUUCUCUUAUCCACGAAUGAAGUUCGGAUAAUCCAUGGAUUCUGCAAGCUAAAACAAAACAUCUAUCGUAACUUCACAACUCUCAGGUUUUCGUAUGCUCCUAAGAAAAACGUUUGCUAAUCCAUCAUAGCUUAUUACCUCAUGCGCUUGGGGAAACCUUCAUGAAAAAUCUUGAGAUGCAUCCUUGGUACCAGUUGUAUUUCUUGAACUCAUUUUCCCUUCCAUUGGUCUGUGUACCAACAAAAGUGUUUGUUCCUCAUAUUUCCAAUUCCAAGGUACACUAUUUUUCUGCUGUCACCCCGAUAGUUUGAUAUGAUCCAACAUUUCCUUCGACUCUAUUCAGUGGGUUUGGCUUCUUGGUAUGCAUGGUACAUUCCUACUCCUUGGGUCCUGUGGGUUUACCGAUUACUACCACACUUAAAAUGAAAUAUACUCAUGCCUGCAUAGACCAUAUUUUCUCAUAUCCUCGAAAUGGUCAGAGAUAUUUGUUCAUAGAGAAAUAACUCAUACAAUUUCAACAUAGGAAACCAUGACACGUAAAUUCCAUUUUUCCAUGAAGUUAUUACAAUCUUAGAGACUUCUGUUACAAAAAUUAACUCCAUAAUAUCAUGAAGACAAGAGGGCUUCACGUUACACUUAUUGCCAUUGUCAAAACUUAACCACUCCAUCUUAGCUUUCUUCCCCUGUGGACAAUUACUAGCAUAAUGUCCUACUUCCUUGCAACGAAAACAAAUGAGUUCCGACAAGUCUCGGGGCUUCUUGGUGUUUGCUAUUACUCCUUGGUUUUCCUGCUUCCUUCUUGGGCACAUAUCGUUGUAGUGGCCCAAUUCCUUACACUUGAAACAUCUGAUAUGACUCAGAUCUUUAUGUGUAGGGAUUUGACUCUGGCUGGUGUACUUUCUCUUCUUUCCGGACUGCUUCAUUCUGGUUAGUUCUUCUAUUUCAUGAGGAUCAAACUCUACUUUUUCUGUCGGGAAAUAUCCCAAAUAUUUACGACUUUCCUUUGUGCAAUCCUCUGAAAAGUGUCCUUCUUCUCCACAUGAGUAACAUGCAUUGGAGAAAAAUCUGGUUAGGCCUUGUCCAUCAGGAUCUUCAGUAAUUUCUUUCAUUACACGUUCUUCUAAAAUCUUAUUCUUGAGCAUCUCCUUCAUUGCUUCUUUCUGUUGCUUGAAAACUUGUUGCACCUUGGGGUAAAUGUGACACUUAAUUGGGUAGUGGGUGGUUCCUUCACAUAAGAAACAUGUCACCUGACUAGUUGGGCAUUCCUCCGCUGGGUGAUUUUCUUCACAACGAGGGCAUCCAUCCUUGUGUUAUUCCUAGGUGUGUCCUAUUUCUCCACAUAUCUUACAUGCACAAGGUUUCUUCACGGGGCUAUCAUAGCACUUCUGAAUGAGACAUGAUCUUAACAGACUCUUCUUGAAUUCGUCCCAAGUUUUUGAUCCACUAAAUCCUUGUAUGGCAUGAUGCAUUUUCCACCAGAUAGCAACACCUUGGGUAAAGUACUGAAGAGCAUGUGCCACUUCAUAUUUCCUUGAAAUCAAAUUGCUCCCGAAAUGGUUCUCCAUGUUCUGAAUCCAUAUUUCAGCUUCCAGCUCGGUCAUUGGUCCAGAGAUUACAAGUCCAGCUUUGUACGUCAUCUGGUAGGGUUGAGGUUUUGGGGAUGAGAUGGGUAAGAGAGAGAGAAAAAGGGGGAGAUACACACAAUACAAACAAUAUUUUUGAGAAUAGGUUUUAUUUGUGGCUGUCAGAAAACACACAAAAUUGACGACUCACAAUUCAUCGUAUCUAACAUGGGUAUAUAACAGGGCUUUGGACUUCUAAUGCCAUAUAAAUAUUGGAACGCUUCAGGGUCUUCAAAUUCUUCGGGUCUUGGGUGUCUUCAAUUUGUGCAGCUUCAAUUCUUCAAAUGCAUGGCGAAAUCCUCUUUACUUUCAAGUGGGACUCAGUUGAUCCUUCAUGUGGUCAAAAGGGAAAAGGGUAUUAUCUAACUAUUUGAGGUGAGAGAGAACAUUUGAUGAAAUCAGAAGAGAUGAGAAGUAAAGGAUGUUCUUGGAAAUAAAAUUUUAGAGAGAUACUUUCCUAAGGGAUUUCCAGUUUCUAGGGUCACGUCCUACAAUCAACCUGUGCUCUCAUACCAUAUCUGUAGCGACCCGACUCAAAACGAGUCAAGCCUAUGUAUAUCUAUACCAUCCCUGGAUCAGUAUGCUGACACACACAGUACAUCAAUGUAUAUAUCAAAGUGCAAUCACAUGUAAAUAACGUAAAAUUGAUAUAUACCUCAAAAUCUCAGCGGAAACAGUCAAGGGAGUGGAGUCCCAAUAAACACCAACGGCAGGUUGAGUGUAGACCGUAACCCUGAAUCGUACUCUUACUCGUCGAAGAAAAUAUCUGCAACAUAAGACGUUGCAGCCGUGUAGGUCAACAUAUUGAAUAUGCCGGCAAGUCACAAAAGAGGGGUGAAAACAUCAUCUAUACUACAUGCAUAUAUGGCAGGUGGGGCUGUAGUUUAAGUUUUGCGUAAAGAAAAUUUUCCUACAACAAGAGAGAGGGUAAAAGCAAAAAUUUACUACAUUGUUGGUUGUUAAUGAGAAGGUUCCACCAUUUCUCAUACCCAUGUUAUAAAUAUUACCCACAUCAAUAAGUUAAUGGUGCUGAGAAUUCCUGAUAGUUUCAGUUCCUUUAGCUCAAGUUGUCCAUGACCGUGGACAUGACUAAUCGAGUAGGUUUGAGUACUCUGCAAGUUUUGCACAUGUUUCCCACAAGAUUUGAUCGCCCCCGUUGAAGUCCUCGCACUUCAGGGUGUUUGAGAGCCGGAUGAUCAAAACAUGGUCUUUCAACGGGUUCCUCUGAGCCUCUGUCGGUGCCCAUCCAAUCCUACCGUUCUUCUACAUCUCGUAGCACCGCCCGUCCAGAGUCACCACGUUGUCCAACCAAGUGAGAGCCCAUAAUGACUUGUGGCUGUGCAGGUAAGCCUUGGGUCUUGAAAUAUCCAUCCAUCUCUUUGAGCCUGGGUGAAGUUUUCCGCAAGAUGUCAUGGCGCUUCUCCAUGCAUCCCGGGUCCUCCGCUGGUUUUUGUUUUCCCAAGGAGCCCAUCUGAACCAUCCUUCACCCAGAGGUAUAUUUUGAUUUGAGGUAUUGCAAGUCUUGGAGUUUUCAGGUCUUGAUUAUUAAGUUUCUCACAACACUCAUGAUAAACACUCAACCAAACCCCAUCUACUAGGAGCAUAACAAAAUAACGUCCCGGCCAAAGUAACAAGGGUUUAGGGGGUGCCUAUCAUAACAUACAACUCAAUAACCAAAGUUUCCAAGUACCUACUUGCAUGCAAUGGGUGAAGAAGGUUGGAACUAAUGCAGUGAACUUGCCUAGUAUUACUUGAUGAAGAUAGUCGCUCUCAUAAUCCUGAUAAUUCUACUCGUCACACUCCGAGCAAUCUGUCAUAAACGAAUAACAUUCAAUAAACAUUCAUGCCAAAAGGAAGAACCAAAAGAACAUAAGAACAAAACAUGUCUUGGUGCAAAAUAACAACAUACUAAGGUUUAAUAAAAAAAGGUUCUAAGUGUGUUGUAAAGUGAAGGUGCAGGAAUGAGAUCAAAAGAGUUAAUGGACGAUGAUCUAUUUCUAUAUACGCUUAGAGUGGAGAUACUAUGAAAGACGAUCCCAACUAUGCGGAAAACAACAUGAAUGACAAAUAGCAUAGGACAUAAGAAUUCAGUUGCGAAAAAAGAAUUAAUUAAAAUGGAGCACUACAACGCAAGUUAUAGCAAAUUGAAGUAUGAACAUAAUUUGAAUUCCAUAAAGUUCAAAAGUAUUUGAAUUGGAGCAUGGUUGUUAUGAAUAGAAAGUACAUAACAUGAGCGUUUAAGGGCAAAAGAAAUCAAUGGAGAAGGUGUUACUGUUGGCAAAGUAAGAUCAAAUAAAUGUUCGAAUAUAAAUUUGAAUCGCUCAAAUUUGUAAGGUUCAAAAGUAGAAACAAACGAUGCUACUGGAUAUAGGAGAUCAAUAUGAACAUGUAUAAAAAAGAAUCACUAGAUUUAAAAUAACGGAUCAAAAGAUACAAAUACUUCAAUAUAACAUUGAAUCAGCUUAGAACGAUGUGAACACUUUUGGGCACUAAUAGGUAAAUCUGAUUUGAUCAAACUUAUAAGUUGAAAAGUUCAAAAUAAUCAUACAAACGGAAGAUUACUUUGAUACGAAUUCGACGCAAUUGGAUUCAUCUAAAACGAAGCUACGGCUAAGAAGAUAUGAUCAAAAGAAGUUUGAAUAUGAGUGUGAACAAGUUUCGAAAUUUGAAAAUUUCAAAAAGUUGAAUGAUAGGUUCACCGGAUAGGUGGGAUCAAGACGAAACUCUAGGCGUUGGUUUCAUCUAAUUCGGAUAAACGAGUAAAAAGUUAUGGCUAUUUGAAUAAUCAGGGCCAAGCUGUUUUACACAAGAAAAAUGCUAUGUCUAAAAGAAUUCUAGGACUGAUGUGUAAAUACAGAGACUAAUUGAUAAAUCUAAUUACUCUAUCGUAUACUAGUGUAUGAAUACUUGUCUAGAAAUAAUAAACUAUGAGAGUAUAAAAAAAUACAAAGAGAAAUAUCUUUAGAAUGCAUAGUAAGAUUUAAAUCCAAAAAAAGACGACUUCGAGAAAUCCCGCCGAAGAGAAGAGAAUAUUUUUAUUUAAUAAAUCUAGUUACACCAAAAGAUUGAUUUAAACCGAAAUAGAUUAUUUUUGGAUGCUUCUAUGGAGCUAUAUUUAUAGAUGAAAGGAAGGUUUAAAGGUCCAUAGAUAGUUAAUGUGGGACUAAACAUAUACGAAAAAGGAGAAAAGAAGAGAUGACCCGGCACACUCACGUGCAUGGGCCAUUGAUUCGGCGGGCCGCAUGAGUAGUUCCGGCCAGCCGCGGCCUCUUGUUUUUUUAUGAAUAGUGUUUAUUUUUUGGAAAAAAGAAAAAACAGUGUAGAAAAACGUAUAAACGAAAUUGAGAGAACAUUUUAUAUAGGCAUAUUAUAUAUCAAAAUUUUGAGAAUAAAUUUUCCUAUAACAUGAACAUAUUUUCAAGACAAAAUAAAAUAAGUUUUUAUUUUUUUUGCAAUAACUUUAAAAUGAAAAGGAAUUUGAUUUUCAAAUAAAUUGCAAAUACUUAAAAUUUGAAUCAAGACAUUGUCCCUGAUUUUGGAGUGUCAUUUUCCUCCUCUCAUUUGAUUUUUGUUUAUUAGAGGGUUUUAAAAAUAUUCAAUCUCAAAAUUGAAUAGGGAUUCAAAAUAGAAAUUUUUGGGAAAGUCAUUCUAUUCCCUCUCAUUCAAAAGUUUCAAAUCUCGCUCAAUAUCAAACAAGCAUUCAAACAAUCAUCAUUCUAGUAAAAAUAUUAACAUACCAAAAUUUGGGAUGUUACAUUGAAAGUCAUCAAUUGGGAGGUAAACAUGGCUGCUCCGACCUGUCAUGAAGUAUCUCGAUCAAGCUAACAUGCCCAUCACGUUCGAUUAGUCGGACCACCCAUCCCACAUUGCCACCCCCGAGAGGCAGGCGUUGGUUGUCGAUCCAGCUAUCUAUGGGUUCUGACUAUGGAUGGUCCUCAUGGAUGGUGGUAGUCGCCUCAACAUCAUCUAUGUCGACACGCUCAAAGCCAUGGACACCCCAUUGUCCGAGCUAAGCAAGAUUAACAUGCAGUUCCAUGGGGUCUUCCUCGGGAAAAAGCCCGAGUCACUCGGUCAAAUCGCCCUGAAUGUCGUAUUUGGUAGCGAAAAUAAUUAAAGGAAGGAGAGACUGACCUUCUAGGUGGUUGACUUUCGAAGUGCCUAUCACGCCAUCCCGGGUUCAUGGCCCAACCAUGCUACGUGUAUCUUAAACUUAAGAUGCCAGGGCCUAAAGGCGUAAUCACAAUGACCGGCAAUCAGGAGAUCGCGGAGGAGUGCCUCCAGGAGGGCCCCAAGAUCGCUAACGAGCAAGUCCUUGCGGCCGAGCUCGAAGGGUACAAGAAGGCGAUGGACACUGCCAAAUUGCUCAAGUUUAAACGGCCAACUACUAAGUCCGCCUUUCAGUCGGUCUGUGAGACCAAGCGGGUUCACAUCUACCCUACCGGUUUGAGUGCCUUCGGGAUGAACAUCUCCACUUCGCUCGGCGACAAAUAGGAAGCUGAGCUCAUCCAGUUCCUAUAUGAGAACUAGGACAUCUUCGCAUGGAAGCCAUCUGACAUGCCGGGUGUUCCCAUGGAGCUAGCCGAGCAUCACUUUCGAGUGGACUCCAAGGUCAAGCCUAUCAAGGAGCACCUGCGCCGCUCCUCUGUAGAGAAGUGCAAGGCGAUUGGCGAAGAGAUCGCUCGACUCCUAGAUGCCGAGUUCAUCCGUGAGGUUUACCAUUGUGAGUGGUCGGCAAACGUGGUCAUGGUGCCUACGAAGAACAAUUCACUCUAAAUGUGUAUUGACUUCAAGCACCGAAACCGGGCCUGCCCGAAGGACCAUUUCCCUUUACCUCGCAAAGACCAGAUUGUAGAUUCCACUUUUGGAUGUGAAGGCUUGUUGUUUUUGGAUGCGUACUCCGGGUACUACUAGAUCUGAAUGUAUGGACCCCGAUGAAAUAAAAACGGCCUUCAUCACCCCAUUUGAGUGUUUCUGCUACAUCACCAUGCCAUCCAGACUCAAAAAUGCUGGGGCUACUUUCCGGCGCAUGAUCCAAAUGUGUGUGCAAGAACAGAUCAGUUGGAACGUCAAAGCGUACAUGGAUGAUAUCGUGAUCAAAUCCAGGAAAGGUUCCGACCUCGUGACCGACCUCGCCGAAAUCUGUGCAAACCUCCGACGCUUUGGGAUCAAGCUUAACCUGGCCAAGUGCACUUUCGUUGUACCGUCCGGUAAGCUACUAGGUUUCCUAGUUUUGGAACGAGGCAUCGACGCCAAUCCCGAUAAAAUCGGCGCCAUAGUCCAAAUGAGACGACCAGAGAGCAUCCAUGAUGUGCAUAGGAUUACAGGUUGCCUCGCGGCUCUAAGCCAUUUCAUCUCGAGACUCGGUGAAAAGGCAUUGCGUCUUUACCGAUUGAUGAAAAAAUUUGACAUGUUCGAGUGGACCAACGAAGUGCAAAUCACAUUCGAGAAACUCAAGGCUUUGCUUUCCACCCAACCGGUGUUAGCUGAUCUGGGCAGACACGAGCCCUUGCUCCUGUACGUCGCUGUUACUUGCCAAGUGGUUAGUACCGUUGUCACUAUGGAGCGUGAGGAAGCAGGCAGAGCAUUCAAGUUACAAAGGCCCAUCUAUUAAAUCUCAGAAGUUUUGACUCCUUCCAAGCAAAGGUACCCACAUUACGAGAGACUAGUUUAUGGUAUCUAUGUGACCGUGAAGAAGGUAGUCCAUUACUUCCAAGAUCACUCGUCCACAGUAAUCAGUGAUGCCCCCUUGUCGGAAAUCCUGUACAACAUAGAUGCCACUGGCCGAGUCGCUAAAUGGGCAAUUGAGCCCCUCCCACCGGAGAUCAAGUUUGAAGCCAAAAAGUGAUCAAGUCUAAGGCCUUGGUGGACUUCCUGGCUGAAUGGAUAGAACAAGAGCAGCCGGCUCCUGGUAUCCCCGAGCAUUGGAUUAUGUUCUUCAACGGGUCCAAGAUGCUCCAUGGCUUGCGGGAUGGAGUAGUUCUCGUUUCCCCCACGGGAGACCGACUGAACUAUGUAAUCCAAAUCCACUUUGACUCGUCUAACAAUGAGGCCGAGUACGAAGCCCUCCUGUAGGGGCUCCGUAUGACCAUCUCACUCGGCAUUCGAUGUUUGAUGGCCUACGACGACUUGGAUCUCGUUGUCAAUCAGGUGAUGAAGGAAAGGAAUAUUCAGAGCCCAGCCAUGACAGUUUACUGCAACGCAGUCAGGAAGCUAGAGAAGAACUUUAAAGGGUAUGAAUUGCACCACAUGCCCCGAUCCAAGAAUCAGGCGGGUGACGACUUGGCUAAGACCAGAUCAAAUCGUAAAGUCAUUCCAAAAUGCAUGUUCCUCGAACACUUGCGCGCCCCUCAGACAAAGAAGAUCCUUUUAUAGAGGAGCCCCCACAGGUAGUCGAUCCUUUGAAUCCAACUGAAGUUGUUAUCCCAGCCGUGGUCGACCUCAUCCAUGAGAUGCUGGUCAUCACGCCCGAAUGGACUCAACCUUAUCUGGCUUACUUGAUCUGGCAAGAACUCCUCGAAGACGAAGAGGAAGCCCGCCGAAUCAUCCGAUAGUCUAAUGCUUUUGAUGUUUUGGGAGACAAAUUAUGCAAAAAAGUGUUACAUGAGUUAGCCAGAAGAGUAUUUCCCUAGAGGAAGGGCUUCAAAUCUUGCACAAGGUUCACUCGGGAACCUGCGGUCAUGAUGCGUCCUCUCGGACUUUGGUGGCCAAGGCCUUACGAGCAGGUUUCUAUCCGCCCAGAGCCAAUGAGGCAACAAGAGACCUGGUUGAGAUAUGCGUCGGAUGUCAGUUUUACAAAAAUCAGUCGCACAACCCUGCAUCCGCGUUAGGGAUGAUUCCGCUCACCUGACCGUUCGUCGUGUGGGGUUUCUACAUGGUCAGCCCUUUACGGACCGGGUCAAGUGGAUUCACCUACUUGCUAGUAGCGGUGGAUAAGUUCACGAAGUGGGUCGAGGAAAACCCCAUCAUAAUCCUGGACUCAGCGACUGCCAUCAGCUUCAUCCGACAAAUUAUCUUCAGAUUCGGAGUUCCUCACGAUAUCAUCACCGACAACGGAUCCAAUUUUGAUUCGGAUGAGUUCCGCGAGUUCUACCAUUCCCUGGGCGCUCGGGUCAAUUAUGCCUCCUUGGCUCACCCGUAGUCGAAUGGACAUGCAGAACGAGCAGAUGGUAUGAUAGGGCAAGGUUUGAAACCCCUGCCGAUGAGAUAUCUCAAGUACACUGUGGGCGCAUGGGUAGAAGAAUUGCCAUCCGUCUUGUGGGGCAUGCAAACGACUCUAAAUCGUUCCACCAAAUGCACCCAUUUCUUCAUGGUGUAUGGAUCUGAAGCCGUUCUGUCGAGUGACCUGUUGGGGAACGUUGCAUGGGAAAUAAAAAUUUUCCUACGCACACGAAGACCUAUCAUGGUGAUGUCCAUCUACGAGAGGAGAUUUGGAUCUACGUACCCUUGUAGAUCGCACAUCAGGAAGCGUUAAGAAACGCGAUUGAUGUAUUGGAACGUCUUCACGUCCCUCGAUCCGCCCCACGAACCGUCCCGCGAUUCGUCCCACGAUCGGUUCCAAUCUAGCGCCGAACGGACGACACCUUCGCGUUCAGCACACGUAUAGCUCGACGAUGAUCUCGGCCUUCUUGAUCCAACAAGCAAGACUGAGAAGUAGAUUAGUUCUCCAGCAGCGUGACAACGCGCCUGCGGUGGUGAUGAUCUACUCCUGUAGGGCUCUGCCCGAGCUCCGCAGAAAUCCGAUCUAGAGGUAAAACUAUGUGGUCUAGGGUUGAGUUGCACGUGGAAAAAGUUGUCUCAAAUCAGCCCUAAAUCACCACUAUAUAUAGGAGGGAGGGGGAGGAGGCUUACCUUGAGGGCCAACCCUCAAGGGUUCACCGGCCAGGAGGAGAGGAGGAAUCCUACUCCAAUUAGGAUUGGAAAGUGGAGUCCUUCUCUUCCUUCCCACCUCUCCUUUUUUUUUCUUUCUCUUUGGUUUUUCUUCUCUUGGCGCCAAGGCCUUCUUGGGCUGUCCCACCAGCCCACUAAGGGCUGGUGCGCCACCUUCAAGCCAUUGGGCUCCCUCGGGGUGGGUUGCCCCCUUCCCGGUGAACUUCCAGAACCCAUUCGUCACUCCUCGUAAAAUGCGGGUAAUGCCCGAAAACUUUCGGUAACCAAAUGAAACCAUACUAUAUAUCAAUCUUCGUUUCCGGACCAUUCCGGAAACCCUCGUGACAUCCUUGAUCUCAUCCGCGACUCCGAGCAACAUUCGGUAACCACACAUAUAACUUAACUAUACUAAAACAUCAUCGAACCUUAAGUGUGCAGACCCUGCGGGUUCGAGAACUAUGUAGACAUGCCCCGAGGCACUCCUCGGUCAAUAUCCAAUAGCGGGACCUGGAUGCCCAUAUUGGAUCCUACAUAUUCUCCGAAGAUCUUAUCAGUUGAACAUCAGUGUCAAGGAUUCAUAUAAUCCCGUAUGUCAUUCCCUUUAUCCUUCGGUAUGUUACUUGCCCGAGAUUUGAUCGUCGGCAUCCGCAUACCUAUUUCAAUCUCGUUACCGGCAAGUCUCUUUACUCGUUCUAUAAUACAAGAUCCCGUGACUUACACUUAGUCACAUUGCUUGCAAGGCUUGUGUGUGAUGUUGUAUUACCGAGUGAGCCCCGAGAUACCUCUUCGUCACACGGAGUGACAAAUCCCAGUCUUGAUCCAUACUAACUCAACGGAAAUCUUUGGAGAUACAUGUAGAGCACCUUUAUAGUCACCCAGUUACGUUGCGACGUUUGAUGCACUCAAGGUAUUCCUACGGUGCGAGUGAGUUAUAUGAUCUCAUGGUCAUAGGAACAAAUACUUGACAUGCAGAAAACAAUAGCAAUAAAAUGACAUGAUCAAUACGCUACGUUCAUAGUUUGGGUCUAGUCCAUCACAUGAUUCUCCUAAUGAUGUGAUCCAGUUAUGAAGUGACAACACUUGCACAUAGCCAGAAAACCUUGACUAUCAUUGAUCAACUCGCUAGCCAACUAGAGGCUUGCUAGGGACAUUGUUUUGUCUAUGUAUCCACACAUGUAUCUAUGUUUUCAUUCAAUACAAUAUAGCAUGGAUAAUAAAUGAUUAUCUUUAAACAAGAAACAUAAUAAUUAUUUAUCAUUGCCUCUAGGGCGUAUUUCCAAAAGUCUCCCACUUGCACUAGAGUCAUUAAUCUAGUCCUCACAUCACCAUGCGAUUUACAUUGUAAUAAAUCGAACACGCAUAUUCGCGGAUGAGGUUGAAGCGUCGUUUGAUGUGUCUCAUCUUCUUGUGAAACCUUGGUUCCUUUGAUAAGGCAAUGGCACCAGUGUUGUCACAUAACAGAGUUAAUGGAUUUAGUGAGCUCGGCACAACUCCAAGAUCUGUCAUGAACUCCUUCAUCCAAAAACCCUCCUUUGCUACCUCCGAGGCAGCCAUGUACUCCGCUUCACAUGUAGAAUCUGUACGACAAUCUGCUUGGAACUGCACCAGCUUACUGCACCCCCAUUAAGAAUAAAUACGUAUCCGGUUUGCGACUUAGAGUCAUCCGGAUCGGUGUCAAAACUUGCGUCGAUGUAACCUUUUACGACGAGCUCUUUGUCACCUCCAUAAACGAGAAACAUUUCCUUAGUCCUUUUCAGGUACUUCAGAAUAUUCUUGAUCGCCGUCCAGUGAUCCACUCCUGGAUUACUCUGAAACCUGCCUGCCAUACUUAUGGCCAAGCUGACGUCUGGUCUAGUGCACAACAUUGCAUACAUGAUAGAACCUACGGCUGAAGCGUAGGGGACGAAACUCAUUUGUUCUCUAUCUUGUGCAGUUGCUGGGCACUGAGUCUUACUCAAUUUGAUACCUUGUAAUACCGGCAAGAACCCUUUCUUGGACUGAUCCAUUUUGAACUUCUUCAAAACUUUAUCAAGGUAUGUGCUUUGUGAAAGUCCUAUCAUGCGUCUCGAUCUAUCCCUAUAGAUCUUAAUGCCUAGAAUGUAAGAAGCUUCUCCUAGGUCCUUCAUAGAGAAAUUUUUAUUCAAGUAAUCCUUUAUGCUAUCCAAAAGCUCCACGUUGUUUCCAAUCAGCAAUAUGUCAUCCACAUAUAAUAUUAGAAACACCACAGAGCUCCCACUCACUUUCUUGUAAGUACAAGAUUCUCCAACCACUUUUAUAAACCCAAAUGCUUUGAUCACCUCAUCAAAGCGCUUAUUCCAACUCCGAGAUGCUUGCACCAGUCCAUAAAUGGAUCGCUGGAGCUUGCUUACUUUGUUAGCAUUCUUUGGAUCGACAAAACCUUCGGGUUGCAUCACAUACAACUCUUCCUUAAGAAAACCGUUAAGGAAUGCCGUUUUGACAUCCAUCUGCCAAAUUUCAUAAUCGUAAAAGGAGCUAUUGCUAACAUGAUUCAAACGGACUUAAGCAUCGCUACCGGUGAGAAUGUCUCAUCGUAGUCAACUCCUUGAACUUGUGAAAAACCCUUUGCCACAAUUCGAGCUUUAUAAACGGUCACAUUACCGUAUGCGUCCGUCUUCUUCUUAAAGAUCCAUUUGUUCUGAAUAGCCUUGCGACCUUCAUGUAGUACUUCCAAAGUCCACACUUUGUUCUCGUAUAUGGAUCCUAUCUCGGACUUCAUGGUCUCUAGCCAUUUGUUGGAAUCCGGGCCCACCAUUGCUUCUUCAUAAUUCGCAGGUUCAUUGUUGUCUAACAACAUAAUUGAUAAGGCAGGAUUACCGUACCACUCAGGAGUAGUACGUGAUCUUGUCGACCUACAAGGUCCUAUAGGAACUUGAUCCGAAGUUUCAUGAUCAUCGUCAUCAACUUCCUCCUCAACCGGCGUCGCAACGAUAGGGGUUUCCCCUUGCCGUGCGCCACCAUCUAGAGGGAUUAGAGGUUCGACAACCUCAUCAAGUUCUAUCUUCUUCCCACUCAAUUCUUUCGAGAGAAACUCCUUCUCAAGAAAAGCUCCGUUUUUAGCAACAAACACUUUGACCUCGGAUUUGAGAUAGAAGGUAUACCCAACUAUCCCUUUUGGGUAACCUAUGAAUACACACUUUUCCGCUUUGGGUUCUAGCUUUUGAGGCUGAAGCUUUUUGACAUAAGCAUCACAUCCCCAAACUUUAAGAAACGAAUUUUUUUGGUCUUUUGCCAUACCACAGUUCGUAUGGUAUCGUCUCAACGGAUUUUGAUGGUGCCCUAUUUAAAGUGAAUGCAGCUGUCUCUAAUGCAUAACCCCAAAACGAUAACGACAAAUCGGUAAGAGACAUCAUAGAUCGCACCAUCUCUAAUAAAGUACGAUUACGAUGUUCGGACACACCAUUACGCUGUGGUGUUGCAGGCGGUGUUAACUGUGAAACAAUUCCACAUUGUCUUAUGUGAGCACCAAACUCGCAACUCAGAUAUUCACCCCCACGAUCAGACCGUAGGAACUUGAUCUUCUUGUUACGAUGAUUUUCAACUUCACUCUGAAAUUGCUUGAAGUUCUCAAACGUUUCAGACUUGUGCUUCAUCAAGUAGACAUAAACAUAUCUACUCAAAUCGUUAGUGAAGGUGAGAAAAUAACAAUAUCCGCCGCGCGCCUCCACACUCAUCGGACCGCAUACAUCGGUAUGUAUGAUUUCCAACAAGUCACUUGCACGCUCCAUUGUUCUAGAGAACGGAGCCUUAGUCAUCUUGCCCAUGAGGCAUGGUUCGCACGUGUCAAGUGAAACAAAGUCAAGUGACUCCAAAAGUCCAUCGGAAUGGAGUUUCUUCAUGCGCUUUUCACCAAUAUGACCUAAGCGGUAGUGCCACAAAAACAUGGUGCUAUCAUUGUUAACUCUAACUCUUUUGGUCUCAAUUUUAUGUAUAUGUGUAUUAUCGCGAUCAAGAUUCAAUAUGAACAAUCCUCUCACAUUGGGUGCAUGACCAUAAAAGAUAUUACUCAUAGAAAUAGAACAACCAUUAUUAUCUAACUUAAACGAGUAACCGUCUCGCAAUAAACAAGAUCCAGAUAUAAUGUUCAUGAUUAAUGCAUACACUAAAUAACAAUUAUUUAAGUUCAUAACUAAUCCUGAUGGUAAGUGAAGUGAAACUGUUCCGACGGCGAUUGCAUCAACCUUGGAACCAUUUCCCACGCGCAUCGUCACUUCAUCCUUCGUGAGCUUUCACUUAUUCCGCAAUUCCUGUUUCGAGUUGCAAAUAUGAGCAACAGAACCGGUAUCGAAUACCCAAGCACUACUACGAGAGCUGGUUAAGUACACAUCAAUGACAUGUAUAUCGAAUAUACCUGAUUUUUCCUUGACCGCCUUCUCAUCAGCCAAAUACUUGGGGAAGUUGCGCUUCCAGUGACCCAUACCCUUGCAAUAAUAACACUCCGUUUCAGGCUUAGGUCCAGCUUUGGGUUUCUUCAUCGGAUUGGCAAUAGGCUUGCCGCUCUUCUUGGAAUUACCCUUCUUUCCUUUGCCGUUUCUCACUAGUGGUCUUAUUCACCAUCAACACUUGAUGCUUUUUAUGGAGUUCUGACUCUCCGACUUUCAACAUCGCGAAUAACUCGCCGGGUGACUUGUUCAUCCCUUGCAUGUUAUAGUUCAACACAAAGCUCUUGUAGCUUGGUGGCAGUGAUUAAAGAAUUCUGCCAGUGAUAGCCUCUUGCGGGAGUUCAAUCCCCAGCUCAGCUAGACGGUUAUUGUACCCAGACAUUUUGAGCACAUGUUCACUAACAGACGAGUUAUCCUCCAUCUUGCAAGCAUAGAAUUUAUCGGAGGUCUCAUACCUCUCGAUCCGGGUGUUCUUCUGAAAGAUAAACUUCAACUCCUGGAACAUCUCAAAUGAUCCAUGGCCCUCAAAGUGACGUUGAAGUCCCGUCUCUAAGCCAUACAAGACUACACAUUGAACUACUGAGUACUCCUCCUUACGUUUUAACCAAGCAUACAUAACAUCUUGAUCAGCCGUAGCGGGUGGUUCAUCUCCUAGCGCAGCACUAAGGACAUAAUCCUUCUUUCCACCUUGGAGGAGCAACUUAAGAUUACGAGCCCACUCUACAAAGUUGCUUCCAUCAUCUUUCAACUUAGCUUUCUCUAGGAAUGUAUUAAAAUUCAGGGUGACUGUCGCGUGAGCCAUUGAUCUACAACACAAAUAUUUCAAAGUGGACUUAGACUAUGUUCAAGAUAAUUAGAGUUUAACUAAUCAAAUUACUUGUUAAAACCCCACUCAAAAAGUACAUCUCUCUAGUCAUUUGAGUGGUACAUGAUCCAAAUUCACUAACUCAAGUCCGAUCAUCACGUGAGUUGAGAAUAAUUUCAGUGGUAAGCAUCUCUAUGCUAAUCAUAUCAACUAUACGAUUCAUGCUCGACCUUUCGGUCUCGUGUGUUCCGAGGCCAUGUCUGCAGAUGCUAGGAUAGUCAAGCUUAACCCGAGUGUUCCGUGUGUGCAACUAUUUUGCACCCGUUGUAUGUGAACGUUGAGUCUAUCACACCCGAUCAUGACGUGGUGUCUCGAAACGACGAACUGUAGCAACGGUGCACAGUCGGGGAGAUCACAAUUUCGUCUUGAAAUUUUAGUGAGAUAUCACCUUAUAAUGCUACCGUUGUUCUAAGCAAAAUAAGGUGCAUACAAGUAUUAACAUCACAUGCGAUUCAUUAAUGACAUGAUAUGGCCAUCAUCAUGUGCUUCUUGAUCUCCACACCAAAGCACCGACACGAUCUUCUUGUCGCUGGCGCCACACCAUGAUCUCCAUCAACGUGACGCCAUCGAGGUUGUCAUGCGACUUAUGCUAUUACAACUAAAGCUAUGUCCUAGCAAUAUAGUAAACGCAUCUGCAAACACAAACGUUAGUUUAAAGACAACCCUAUGGCUCCUGCCGGUUGCCGUAUCAUCGACGUGCAAGUCGAUAUUAACUAUUACAACAUGAUCAUCUCAUACAUCCAAUAUAUCACAUCACGCCAUUGUCCAUAUCAUAUCACAAUCAUACCCUGCAAAAACAAGUUAGACGUCCUCUAAUUUGUUGUUGCAUGUUUUACGUGGCUGCUAUGGGUAUCUAGUAUGAUCGCACCUUACUUACGCAAAAACCACAACAGAGAUGUGCAAAUUGCUAUUUAACCUCUCCAAGGACCGCCUUGGUCAAAACCAAUUCAACUAAAGGUGAAGAAACCGACACCCGCCAGUCAUCUUUAUGCAACGAGGUUGCAUGUCAAUCGAUGAAACCAGUCUUUCGUAAGCAUACGAAUAAUGUCGGUGCGGGCCGCUUCAAUCCAACAAUACCGCCGAAUCGAGAAAAGACUAAGGAGGGCAGCAAAUCGAACAUCACCGUCCACAAAACCCUUUGUGUUCUACUCGAGAUAACAUCUACGCUUGAACCUAGCUCAUGAUGCCACUAUUGGGGAAUGUUGCAUGGGAAACAAAUUUUUUCCUAGGCACACGAAGACCAUCAUGGUGAUGUCCAUCUACAAGAAGAGAUUUGAAUCUAUGUACCCUAGUAGAUCGCACAACAGGAGGCGUUCAGAAACGCGGUUGAUGUAGUGGAACGUCUUCACGUUCCUCGAUCCGCCCCACGAACCGUCCCGCGAUCCGUCCCACGUUCCGUUCUGAUCUAGCGCCGAACGACGACACCUCCGUGUUCAGCACACGUACAGCUCAGCUCGACGGUGAUCUCAGCCUUCUUGAUCCAGCAAGCAAGACGGAGAAGUAGAUGAGGUCUCCGGCAGCGUGACGGCGCGCCGGUGGUGGUGAUGAUCUACUCCUGCAGGUCUCCGUCCGAGCUCCGCAGAAAUACGAUCUAGAGGUAAAACUAUGUGGUCUAGGGUUAAGUUGCACGUGGCAAAAGUUGUCUCUAAUCAGCCCUAAAUCACCACUAUAUAUAGGAGGGAGGGGGAGGAGGCUUGCCUUGAGGGCCAAGCCCUCAAGGGUGCGCCGGCCAGGAGGAGAGGAGGAAUCCUACUUCAAUUAGGAUUGGAAAGUGGAGUCCUUCUCUUCCUUCCCACCUCCCUUUUUUUUUCUUUCUCUUUGGUUUUUAUUCUCUUGGCGCCAAGGCGUUCUUGGGAUGUCCCACCAGCCCACUAAGGGCUGGUGCGCCACUCUAAAGCCAUUGGGCUCCCUCCGGGUGGGUUGCCCCCCUCCCGGUGAACUUCCGGAACCCAUUCAUCACUCCCGGUACAAUGCCGGUAAUGCCCGAAAAACUUUCCUGUAACUAAAUGAAACCAUCCUAUAUAUCAAUCUUCGUUUCCGGACCAUUCCGGAAACCCACGUGACGUCCGUGAUCUCAUCCGGGACUCCGAUAAACAUCCGGUAACCACACAUAUAACUCAACUAUACUAAAACAUCAUCGAAACUUAAGUGUGCAUACCCUGCGGGUUCGAGAACUAUGUAGAAAUGCCGCGAGGUACUCAUCGGUCAAUAUCCAAUAGCGGGACCUGGAUGCCCAUAUUGGAUCCUACAUAUUCUUCGAAGAUCUUAUUGGUUGAACCUCAGUGUCAAGGAUUCAUAUAAUCCCGUAUGUCAUUCCCUUUGUCCUUCGGUAUGUUACUUGCCCGAGAUUUGAUCGUCGGUAUCUGCAUACCUAUUUCAAUCUCUUUACCGGCAAGUCUCUUUACUCGUUCUGUAAUACAAGAUCCCAUGACUUACACUUAGUCACAGUGCUUGGAAGGCUUGUGUGUGAUGUUGUAUUAUCGAGUGGGCCCUUAGAUACCACUCCGUCACACGGAGUGACAAAUCCCAGUCUUGAUCCAUACUAACUCAACGGACACCUUCGGAGAUACCUGUAGAGCACCUUUAUAGUCACCCAGGUACGUUGUGACGUUUGAUGCACACAAGGUAUGCCUCCGGUGCCAGUGAGUUAUAUGAUCUCAUGGUCAUAGGGACAAAUACUUGACACGCAAAAAAAAUAGCAAUAAAAGGACAUGAUCAAUACACUACGUUCAUAGUUUGGGUCUAGUCCAUCACACGAUUCUCCUAAUGACGUGAUCCAGUUAUCAAGUGACAACACUGGCACAUAGCCAGAAAACCUUGACUAUCAUUGAUCAACUGGCUAGCCAACUAGAGGCUUGCUAGGGACAUUGUUUUGUCUAUGUAUCCACACAUGUAUCUAUGUUUUCAUUCAAUACAAUUGUAGCAUGGAUAAUAAAUGAUUAUCUUUAAACAUGAAAUAUAAUAAUAACUAUUUAUCAUUGCCUCUAGGGCAUAUUUCCAACAUGACCUACAUCACAACUCCCCCUGAGUGGAGCAGUACAACGAAGCCGAAGCCGAAGCAACACGACAAUACAAUUUGGAUCUCUUGGAAGAAGAGAGGGAAUUAGCUCUCAUUUCAUCAACGCUAUAUCAGUAAGACCUAAGGUGCUAUAUGAUAAGAAAGUCACAGGACGAACCUUCGAGGAGGGUGACUUGGUCCUCCGACUGGACCACCAAAAUCCUCACAAGCUGGCACCUCCGUGGCAAGGACCCUUUGCAAUCUCCAAGGUCCUGAACAAUGGAGCUUAUUGGCUUUACAACUUUCGAAACAGGAUGGAAGAGCCAAGGACCUGGAACGCGGAGCUGCUCCGCAAGUUCUAUACAUAGAACAUGUAUCUUUGUUCGUGUAACAACUCCAUAUGAUUCGACGAAUAAAGUGUUUUCCUUCUACACCCAUUUGUCAACAUUCUCAGUCCGGUGAAACAUCUCUCUUAAAAACCUGCCCCGAGUGAGGACAACCUCCAUGCUCGGGGGCUUAGCUGUGAACCUGAUUUCGCCUAAGUGCAAACGGUUCCGAGUGCAGGUACUCCUCACACUCGUAUGCCACGAUGGACAGGACCAUCGUUCGGUCCACAAGGACCACUCUGACAUCUUGGUCGCGGAUCAUAAUUCAGCUAAAACCUGCCCUGAGUGAGGAGAACCUCCAUACUCGGGGGCUUAGCAGUGAACCCGCCUUCGCCUAAUUACAGACGGUUCCGAGUGUGGGCAAUAUCCCCGCUCGACUACCAAGAUGAACAGGACAAUCGUCCCUUAGCUGCGAACAUGUUUUCACCUAAGACCAAACCUGCCCCGAGUGAGGACAACCUCCACGUUCGGGGGCUUAGUGAUACGUCCCAAACGUAUCUAUAAUUUCUGCUUGUUCCAUGAUCUUUUGGGUGACAUUGUUAUAUGUUCUGCUAUACUUUUAUAUCACUUUACACAUAUUUGGAAUAACCUACUAACUCAGUGGACCCAGUGCCAGUUUCUGUCUGCUGAUGUCUAUUUUGCACGGGCUUUUACCCAAUUUUUCGAAGCCCGAAAAAAUCCAGAAAAUAUAUAUAAAAAAUCAGCGAUACAGAAGCUUUCGGAUCACCGAAGGAGGGCAAGAGGGGGACCAGGGGCCUCCCAGGCGGCUUGCUGGCGCGGCCAGGCCCUAGGCAGCGCCAGGAGGUCGUGUGGGUGGGUCUCACCUCCUCUGGUGCCCUCCUUUGGCCUAUAUUUAGAGUCCCGAGAGGAAACCCUCGCAGACUUUCUGGAAUUGCGAUUUCUCCAUCGUUCCGCCGCCAUAACGCUUACGAGAUCGGGAGCGUCAUGAGACCUCCUCGCGGCACCCUGCCGGAGGGAGGAUUGACCUCCGGGAGCUUCUCGACCGCCAUGGACGCUUCCCGGACAUUGCGUGAGUAGUCCUCCUUGGACCAUGAGUCCAUGACCAGUAGCUAUGUGAUGUCUUCUCUCCAAUCUUGUGCUUCAAUGGUUAGUCCUUAUGAGCUAUCCUACAUGAUCAAGGCAUCUAUGUAAUUCUCUUGCUAUUGCUAUGCUCGGUUUGUUGGGAUGUGAUGGAUUAUGAGAUUAUGUUCAGAUUGAUAUGAUUUAUAUAAUUGAUUAUCCUUUUAUAUUAUGUUCCUUAGUAAUUCAUGCAUGUUCUCCGUUGCUUUUUAUUGCUUUGGCCGAGUAGUAGAUUGAAACUCCAAGAGGGGGCGUUAUGCAUGAUUGUAGGUUCAUGCCCCUCGAUGUCUAGCUUGACUAACAGAAACAUGAGACUAGGGGAUGUGCUUGUCGCCAACAGGGAGAAAACAACGGUGCUUAUGACCACGGUUGCAAGGAUUGUUUACCUUACGCAUAGUUCGUUAAUGAAGUUUUCCGUUGCUUUGAGUUUACACUUUGGGUGGGGCUCGCAACUUAAUACCAGAGAGAUGUUCUGGAUAAAUAUCUCAAGGUGGAUGAUUAGUAUGUAGAUGCUGAUGAAUAAAUGAUCUACUUGUCUUGGCAUACUGCCCAUUACUAUUGAAUCUCUAACUAUCAAGUAGCAUAAUUAGCAUUGCGGUGCGAUCAUAAUUCUGUCAAUUGCCCAACUGUAAUUUGUUUAACCAAGCAUAGUUGUUUAUCGUCUUUUGGGAGAGAGACAUCACUAGUAAACAUCAUGUGACUCUGGUCCAUAUCACCAUCAUUGUUUACAGCUCCAACAUUUACCGCUUUCAUUUACUUUUCCGUUGCAAUCACUAUUACUAUCCCGCUUGUGUUUUGAUCCUUUGCAAACUACAAGACCGGAGAGAUUGAUGAUAACCCACAAGUAUAGGGGAUCGCAACAGUUUUCGAGGGUAGAGUAUUGAACCCUAAUUUAUUGAUUCGACUCAAGGGGAAGCGAAAUAAUAUUCUCAAGUAUUAGCAGUUGAGUUGUCAAUUCAACCACACCUGAAAGAUUUAGUGUCUGCAGCAAAGUAUCAAUAGCAAAGUAGGGUGAUAGCAGCAGUAGCAACAGUAACCAGUAGUGACAGCAGUAGCGACAAAGUAACAACAGUAGCAACAGAGCAACAAUAGCAGCAGUGACUGCAGUAGCGGCAAAGUAACAUAGCAAGGGCCAGUAGUAAAAGACUCGUAGGCAUUGGAUCGGUGAUGGAUGAUUAUGCCAGAUGUGAUUCAUCAUGUAACAACUAUAACACGGAGAGAUAUGUAACUAGCUCCCGUUCGUCAAUCUAAUGUAGCCAUGUAUUCCGUAUGUAGUCAUACUUGCCUAGGGAAAAUAACUUGCAUGACAUCUAUUGUCCAUCCCUCCUGUAGCAGCGGGGUCCUAGUGGAAACUACGGGAUAUUAAGGUUCUCCUUUUAAUAAAGAACCGGACCAACGCAUUAACACUUGGUGAAUACAUGAACUCCUCAUACUAUGGUCAUCUCCGAGAGUGGUUCCGGCUAUUGUCACUCCGAGGUUGCCGGGUCAUAACACAUAGUAGGUGACUACAACUUGCAAGAUAGGAUCUAAUACACACAUAUAUUGGCAACAACAUAAUAGGUUCACAUCUGAAAUCAUGGCACUCGGGCCCUAGUGACAAGGAUUAAGCAUGGCAAAGUAGUAGCAAAAUCAAUCUCAGAACAUAGUGGAUACUAGGGAUCAAUCCCCGUCAAAACUAACUCGAUUACAUGUUAGAUCUCAUCCAACUCAUCACCGUCCAGCAAGCCUACGAUGAGAUUACUAACGAACGGUGAAGAGCAUCAUGGAAUUGGUGAUGGAGGAAGGUUCAUGAUCACGAUGGCGACAAUUUCCCCUCUCCGGAGCCCAAAACGGACUCCAGAUCUGCCCUCCAGAUGAAGAAGAGGAGGUGGCGGCGCCUCCAUAUCGUAAAACGUGAUGAAUCCUUCUCUUUGAUUUUUUUCCGGGCGAAACGGAAUAUAUAAAGCUGAGAUUGGAGGCGCUGGAGCUCUGUGGGCCCCACAAGCCUGCCAGGUGUGGCCAGGGGGGUGGUCGCGCCUCCUGGGCUUGUGGCCCACUGCUACUGCGACAACAGACCUUCCCUCGCAUCGGCGCUAGGAAUCCUUCUGCUACGAGCUACGCCUAUAGGGACUUCCUUGGCAAAUAUGCAAAGGAUUCCCCCUCGACCUUGGAGCAUUGCGUUGGUGUUCCCUUGAAGAGGAAAGGGUGAUGUAGCACAGCGGCGGUAAGUAUUUCCCUCAGUUUGAGAACCAAGGUAUCAAUCCAGUAGGAGGAUCGAGUCAAGUCACAAGUACCUGCACAAACACAAAGAGCUUGCUCCCAACGCUAUGAAGGGGUUGUCAAUCCCUUAUAGAUUGUUUGCAAAGUGAGAACUGAAAUCAAAAAGUAAACAAAGCAAAGUAAAAGUGAAAGUGGAGACGAUAGUUGUGAAUAGACCCGGGGGUCGUAGUGUUCACUAGUGGCUUCUCUCAUGAAAGCAAGUAGAUGGUGGGUGAACGAAUUACUGUCGAGCAAUUGAUAGAACCGCACAAAGUCAUGACGUUAUCUAUGGCAAUGAUCAUAUCUAUAUGCAUCACGUCCAAAACAAGUAGACCGAUACUUUCUGCAUCUACUAUUAUUACUCCACACGUUGACCGCUAUCCAGCAUGCAUCUAGUGUAUUAAGUUCAUAAGAACAGAAUAACGCCUUAAGCAAGAUGACAUGAUGUAGAUGGACAAUCUCAAUUCUAUGAUGAAAGCCCAUAUUGUUACCCUUGAUGGCAACAACACGAUGCGUGCCUUGCUGCCCCUUCUGUCACUGGGAAAGGUCACCGCAUGGUAUGAACCCAAACAAAGCACUUCUCCCAUUGCAAGAAUCAUAGAUCUAGUUGGCGAAACAAAACCCAAGACUCGGAGAGACUUACAAGGAUAUCAAAUCAUGCAAAUAAGAAAUCAGCAAAGACUCAAAUAUAAUUCAUAGAUAAUCUGAUCACAAAUCCACAAUUCAUCGAUCUCGACAAACACACCGCCAGAGAGGAUUACAUCGGAUAGAUCUCCAUGAAGAUCAUGGAGAACUUUGUAUUGAAGACCCAAGAGAGAGAAGAAGCCAUCUAGCUACUAACUACGGACCCGUAGGUCUAAAGUGGACUACUCACGAGUCAUUGGAGAGGCGAUGAUGUUGAUGUAGAAGCCCUCCAACUACAAAAUCCCCUCUGGCAGGGCACCAGGAAGGGUCUCCGGAUGAGAUCUCGCGGAAACGGAAGCUUGCGGCGGCGGAAAAGUGUUUUCGUGGAUGUCCUGAUUUUUUCUGCGAUUUUUAGGGAAUUUAUAGGCCAAAGAGCUAGGGCAAGGGAGCGCCAGGGAGGCCACAAGCCUUGUUGCCGCGGGCCCCCUCGCCGCGGCAAUAGUGCUUGUGGGCUCCCUUUGGCCCCCGUGCCUUGGACCUCAAGUCCCCCGAUCUUCUUCUGUUCUGGAAAAAAAUAUUUCGGGGAUUUUAUUCCGUUUGGACUCCAAUCCAAAAUCAGAUAUGAAAAGAGUCAAAAACACAGAAAAAACAGGAACUGUCAGUCGGCACUGAAUUAAUAAGUUAGUCCCAAAAAAGAUAUAAAAGGUAUAUAAAACAUCCAAGGUUGACAAGAUAACUGCGUGAAACCAUCUAAAAUUAUAGAUACGUUUGAGACGUAUCAAGCAUCCCCAAGCUUAACUCCUGCUCGUCCUCGAGUAGGGAAGUGAUAAAGAAUGAAUUUUUGAUGCUUUCAUGCUACCUAGCAUAGAUGUCCUUUGUAACUCCUCUUAGGUGACGUGAAUGUUCAGAUCCAUUAAAUUCAAAACAAUAGUUUGCUAAUGACGUGGAGACAAUAAUACUUCAAGCAAACUAGCAAGGUAAUCAUGAAUUUUCAAAAUAACAAGGCCAAAAGAAAGUUAUCCCUACAAAAUCAUAUAGUCUGGCUAUGCUCUAUCAUCCUUGCACAAUGAAUUUAAAUCAUGCACAACCUCGAUAUUGGCCAAGUAAUUGUUUUCACACCUUUACUUUCUCAAAAAAUUUCAACUCUCACGCAAUACAUAAGCGUGAGUCAUGGUUUUAGCACUAUAAGUGGAAUGGAGUGUGGUGGAGGUGGCAAGGCAAACAAGGAGAAGAUGGUCACAUUGACUAGGCAUAUCAAUGAGAUGUGGAGAUGCUCAUCAAUAGAUAUCAACGUGAAUGAGUAGGGAUUGCGAUACAAAUGAUGCUCUAGAUCUAAGAGUAUGUGAAAGCUCUUAAAGAAAACUAGUGGGUGUGCAUCCAACUUGCUUGCUCACGAAUACCUAAGGCAAUUUUGAGGAAGCCUAUCAUUGGAAUAUACAAGCCAAGUUAUAUAAUAAAUUUUUUCCACUAGCUAUAUGGUGGUGACAAAACGAGAGACUCUCAAUCAUGAAGAUCAUGGUGCUUAAUAAGCACAAGUGUGGAAAGAUAGUAGCAUUGUCCCUUCUCUCUUUUUCUCUCAUUUUUUGGUGGGCUCUUUGGCCUCUUUUUUUUUAUAUUUUUUUAUAUUUUGGUGGGCAUCUUUGGCCUCUUUUUUUAAAUGGGCUUCGCUGGCCUCUUUUAUUUCCUCACAUGGGACAAUGCUCCAUUAAUGAUGAUCAUCACACUUACAACUCAAAACUUAGAGGAAUGAUGACUCUAUAUGGAAUGCCUUCGGUAGUGUACCGUGACAAUGAUCUAGCAUGGCAUAGACAUUAAAUGGAAACAUCAUGCUAGCUAUCUUAUGAUCAUGCAAUGGCAAUGUAGAAGUGGUGGCACAUGUCAUGGUGGUAGUUGCAUGGCAAUAAAUCUCGGAAUGGCUUUGAAAAAGACAUAGUAGGUAGGUAUGGUGGCUGUCUUGAGGGAGGCUAUAUGGUGGGUUUUGUGCACCGGCGAAAGUUGCACGACACUAAGAAUAAAGUGAUGAUGGAAGGUGAAAGUGCAUCUAAACCAUGGACUCAACAUUAGUCAUGAAAAACUCAUAUACUUGUUGCAAAAGUUUUAGUAGUAAUCGAAACAAAGCAUUCAACGCAUACUCCUAGGGGAAGGGUUGGUAGGUAUAAACCAUCGCGCAAUCCCGACCGCCACACAAAGGAUGAAAAUCAAUAGACUAAUCAUGCCCAGACUUCAUCACAUAGCGGUUCACCAUACGUGCAUGCUACGGGAAUCACUAACUUCAACACAAGUAUUUCUAGAUCCACAACACCUUACUAGUAUAACUUCAAUAUUACCACAGCCACAACUCAAAACUAAUUGAGAUGAAUCAAACUUAUCUAACUAUUCAAUGCACAUGAAGGUGGAAGUUUUCAUAUCCCUUUGGAUAACUACCCCUUUUGAGACUACUUUCAUAGCAUAGAUCAACUACCAAGCCACGCGCCGGCGUGCUCUAAAAGAUAUAAGUGAAGCACACAGAGCAAAAUCAACUAGCUCAAAAGAUAUAAGUGAAGCACAUGUGAGCUGAAUUGUCUAACCAAAGGAUAUAAGUGAAGCUCGACAAAAUCACGGUGAGUGCAUGUCUCUCUCUCAAGGUGUGCAUCAAGGACUAUUGUGACGCAACAAAAAUAAAAGACUCCUACGAUACAAUACGCUCCAAGCAAAACACAUAACAUGUGGUGAAUAAAAAUAUAGCCCCAAGUAACGUUACCGAUGGAUUGAAGACGAAAGAGGGGAUGCCUUCCCGGGGCAUCCCCAAGCUUAGGCUUUUACGGCAUCCUUGAAUCAACUUUGGGUGCCUUAGGCAUCCCCAAAUUUGAGCUCUUGCCACUCUUUAUCUUUUUGUCCAUAAGAACUUCACCCAAAACUUGAAAACUUCACAACACGAAACUUAAACAGAAACUCGUGAUAACAUUAGUAUAAUAAAGCAAAUCACCACUUCCUUAGGUACUGUAGCAAACUUAAAUUCUACUUAUGUUGAUGUUGGGUUACUGUAUUUACAAUAUUCCAUGGCUAAUACCCCUCGAUACUAUCCAUAGUUUCAUCAAAAUAAGCAACCAACUCAACAAAAAACAGAAUCUGUUAACAGCAGACCAGUCUGUAGUAAUUUCUAUACUUCGUAUAUUUAUGGUACUUCAAAAAUUCUGAAAAAUUAUGACAGUCUGAAGAAUUUGCGUACAAAUCAGCAGCAAAAAGAAUAAACUCAAAAGCUCUCACAGAAAAAAGGAAAAUUCUUUUCAUGAGCAGAAAGUUUGUGUCUUUUCGAGCAUGAUCAAACGAUCACCCCCAAGACUAAUCAUAACGGUUUUACAUGGCACAAACGCAAAAGAAACACAAAAAACAAAAUCAUAACAGAAUUAUGAAAGUGUGGAAAACACAAAACAGAAAGAAAAAGGAUAGAUUCGUUGGGUUGCCUCCCAACAAGCGCUAUUGUUUAACGCCCUUAGCUAGGCAUUGAUAAUUCAAUGAUGCUCACACAAAAGACAAGAAUUGAAGCACAACGAGAUCAUCAUAAAGCAUGUGAAAAUCACAUCUAAGUCUAACAUACUUCCUAUGCAUAGGCAUUUUAUAGGAAAACAGAUUGUCAAGACAACCAAUAGUUACCAUAUGCAAGGAAGAAGAAAGAGACAGUAGCAAUCUCAACACAACGAGAGGUGAUUUAGUGAUAUGAAUGUUUCUACCACCAUAUUUUUGCUCUCUCAUAAUUAUUACAUGUGGGAUCAUAUUCGAAUUCAACAAUGUAACUAUCACAUAGGAUAUUCUUUUCAUGAUCCACAUGCAUGCAAAGUUGACGCUCUUUAAAAAUAGUGGGAUUAUCAUCAACUAAAGUCAUGACUUCUCCAAACCCACUUUCAAUAAUAUUGCAAAUAUCAUAUUCAUCAUGAGGCUUAAAUUUUUUUUCAAGAUCAUAAGAACAAUCAUCACCCCAAUCAUGAUCUUUGCAACAAGAAUCCCCAAGCUUAGGGUUUUGCAUAUUUUUAGCAUGAUUGUCAUUAAUAGAAUUUAUAGUGAAAUCAUCGAAAUCAUGCUUUUCAUCCAAGAAGCCCUCGUGAAUCACUUCAUGAAUUUCUUCCUCACAAUUUUCAGAUUCACGCAUCUCAAGCAAAACUCCAUAAAGAUAGUCAAGUGCACUCAACUCACUAGCGAUUGGAUCAACAUAAUUGGAUCUCUUAAAGAGAUUAGCAAGUGGAUGAGGAUCAAUAUCACUAGAUUUUGAGCAAGCGAAGAUGCAAGCAUAUUGAAGGCACAUGGCACACAAGAGAACAAAAAGCAAGCGAGAGAAAAGGGCGAACCAAAAAGGCAAACGAAAAAAAGGCAAACGAAAAAGGCGAAUUGUGAAGUGGGGGAGAGGAAAACGAGAGGAAACUGGCAAACAAAGUGAAUGCAAGAGAUGAGUUUGCGACACCUACUUGGACGAGUCCUUGACUUGAUCUCUCCCCGGCAACGGCGCCAGAAAUCCUUCUGCUACUGCGACAACAGACCUUCCAUGGCAAUGGCGCCAGGAAUCCUUCUGCUACGGGCUACGCCUAUAGGGACUUCCUUGGAAAAUAUGCAAAUGAUUCCCCCCUCGGCUUUGGAGCCUUGCGUUGGUGUUCCCUUGAAGAGGAAAUGGUGAUGUAGCACAGCGGCAGUAAGUAUUUGCCUCAGUUUGAGAACCAAGGUAUCAAUCCAGUAGGAGGAUCGAGUCAAGUCACAAGUACCUGCACAAACACAAAGAGCUUGCACCCAACACUAUGAAGGGGUUGUCAAUCCCUUAUAGAUUGUUUGCAAAGUGAGAACUGAAAGCAAAAAGUAAACAAAGCAAAGUAAAAGUGAAUGUGGAGACGAUAGUUGUGAAUAGACCCGGGGGCCGUAGUGUUCACUAGUGGCUUCUCUCAUGAAAGUAAGUAGACGGUGGGUGAACGAAUUACUGUCGAGCAAUUGAUAGAACCGCGCAAAGUCAUGAUGUUAUCUAUAGAAAUGAUCAUAUCUAUAGGCAUCACGUCCAAAACAAGUAGACCGAUACUUUCGGCAUCUACUACUAUUACUCCACACGUCGACCGCUAUCCAGCAUGCAUCUAGUGUAUUAAGUUCAUAAGAACAGAGUAACGCCUUAAGCAAGAUGACAUGAUGUAGAUGGACAAUCUCAAAUCUAUGAUGAAAGCCCAUCUUGUUAACCUUGAUGGCAACAACAUGAUGCAUGCCUUGCUGCCCCUUCUGUAACUGGGAAAGGUCACCGCACGGUAUGAACCCAAAACCAAGCACUUCUCCCAUUGCAAGAAUCAUAUAUCUAGUUGGCCAAACAAAACCCAAGACUCGGAGAGACUUACAAGGAUAUCAAAUCAUGCAAAUAAGAAAUCAGCAAAGACUCAAAUAUAAUUCAUAGAUAAUAUGAUCACAAAUCCACAAUUCAUCGGAUCUCGACAAACACACCGCCAAAGAGGAUUACAUCGGAUAGAUAUCCAUGAAGAUCAUGGAGAACUUUGUAUUGAAGAUCCAAGAGUGAGAAGAAGCCAUCUAGCUACUAACUACGGACCCGUAGGUCUGAAGUGGACUACUCACGAGUCAUUGGAGAGGCGAUGAUGUUGAUGUAGAAGCCCUCCAACUCCAAAGUCCCCUCCGGCAGGGCACCGGGAAGGGUCUCCAGAUGAGAUCUCGCGGAAACAGAAGUUUGCAGCGGCGGAAAAGUGUUUUCGUGGAUGCCCUGAUUUUUUCUGCGAUUUUAGGGAAUUUAUAGGCCAAAGAGCUAGGGCAGGGGAGCGCCACGGAGGCCACAAGCCUGGUUGCCGCGGCCCCCCUGGUCGCGACAACAUGACUUGUGGGCUCCAUGUGGGCCCCCUGGCUUGGCCCUCAAGUCCCUCGAUCUUCUUCUAUUCGGGAAAAAUUUAUUUCAGGGAUUUUAUUCCGUUUGGACUCCGUUCCAAAAUCAGACCUGAAAAGAGUCAAAAACACAGAAAAAACAGGAACUGGCACUUGACACUGAAUUAAUAAGUUAGUCCCAAAAAAGAUAUAAAAGGUAUAUAAAACAUCCAAGGUUCACAAGAUAACAGCGUGGAGCCAUAAAAAAUUAUAGAUACGUUUGAGACGUAUCACCCACUGGCUCACCUCCUCUGGUGGAUCUUUGCGCAGGUAUUUUUCAUUAAUUCCAUAAAAAUUCUCCGUAAAUUUUCAGGUCAUUUCGAGAACUUUUAUUUCUGCACAAAAACAACACCAUGGCAAUUCUGCUGAAAACAACGUUAGUACGGGUUAGUUCCAUUCAAAUCAUGCAAAUUAGAGUCCAAAACAAGGGCAAAAGAGUUCGGAAAAGUAGAUACGACGGAGACGUAUCAACUCCCCCAAGCUGAAAGCCUUGCUUGUCCUCAAGCAAUUCAGUUGACAAACUGAAAAAGACAAAAGAAAAACUUUGACGAACUCUGUUUAUAACCAGAAUUUCAGCAAGAUCACAAGCAAACCACAUAAUCAAAUGACAUCUAGGUCUCACGGUAAACUCAUAUCAAUGGCAUAAUCACCUAGCAAGCAAAUAAUAAUAAGUCUCAAACGUCAACACUUCAAUCAAAACAAUCAUGAAGCAGUACAAAUAGAUGGUAUCUCGCUAGCUCUUUGUCAGACCGCAAAUCAUAAAUGCACAACACCUUCAAAGACCAAGGGCUGACUAAACAUUGUAAUUUAUGGCAAAGAAGAUCCAGUCACAGUCAUACUCAACACAGUUAACAACAAAGCAUAAAAAUGACAGAGGUGCUCUCUAACUGGUGCUUUUAUAAGAAGAGGAUGACUCAAUAGGAACAUAAAUAGACAGGCCCUUCGCACAGGGAAGCAUUGAUUUGCAGAGGUGCCAGAGCUCAAGCUUUGAAAACAGAGAUAAUAAUUUUGGGUGACAUGCUUUCAUUGUCAACGCAAUGACUAAGAGUUCUCAACAUCUUCCACGCUACACAUGCUAUAGGCGGUUCCCAAACAGAAAAGUAAAGUUUUGACUCCCCCACACUCCACGGCUAGCCAAAUCCUCGGGUACCGUCCAUACCAACAUCAAUCCUGGGGGAGUUUUGUUUGCAAUUAUCUUUUUGAUUUGAGCAUGGAACUGGGAAUUCCAAUUACCGGCCCCUUUCUCGUGAAUGAUAGUGAAUAAACACAUAUCAAGGAUAACACGCCUAGCAUGGAAGAUACUGAUAGCCCCCUGUCACCACAUGAGCGGUUCGGGCACGCAAAACAGAUUAUUUCUUGAAGGUUUAGAGAGUGGCACAUGCAAAUUUACUUGUAACGACAGGUAGAUACCACACAUAGGUAGAUAUGGUGGACUCAUAUGGAACAACUUUGGGUUUAUGGGAGUGGAUGCUCAAGCAGUAUUCCCGCUCAGUACAAGUGAAGGCUAGCAAAAGACUGGGAAGCGACCAACUAGAGAGUGACAACAGUCAUCAAAAUGCAUUGAGAUUAACUAACAUUGAGUGCAAGCAUGAGUAGGACAUAAAUCACCAUGAACAUGAAUAUCAUAGAGGCUAUGUUGAUUUUGUUUCAACUACAUGCGUAAACAUGCGCCAAGUCAAGCCACUUGAAUCAUUCAAAGGAGGAUACCAUCCUAUCAUACUACAACACAGUCAUCUCAACAUUCAUGUUGGCAUCCAAGGCAAACCUGUGACAGCCCGAUGCCGACGUUCCAGAAGAUUCCCCUUCUAUUGCAUUUUCGUCGUGUGUCUUGUUUUAUUUGUUGCAUCAUCAUCGCAUCAUGCGCAUCAUCAGCAUUGCAUUGGCAUCCCGUUGCCGCCAGUUUUCAAAACUCGCAUCCGUUGUUAGUUGCCGGUUCUCGUCGUUGACCGUUCUGAGCCCGACCGCACACGCACGCGCCCGCGGCAUCGUCAAACCCUGUUUUUAAAGUGUGCGUUAAAAUUUCUCUGAUCGGGGUGAAACUUGGCAUGCGGUCAUGAUUAGGUAUAGCUAGGCCGCCUGUCGAAUUUCGUCGCGGUCGGAGUCCGUCUGGUACCCGAACGGUCGACCGUAGCGGCACCGUCUUCGGUCUACCGUCGGACGUGUUCCGGCGUUUUAAAUAUCGUGUUGCCGCACCAUGCUAUUUCCCUCUCACCUCCGCCUAGCCACUCAUCACACCCACCUAGACAUUCCUGCGUCUGUGACCGUUUGAUCGCGAUCACGUGGUCGAAAACUGAUCUGGAUUCGGAUAACCCUAGCUACCCCAACUAUAAAAGGAAGGGUCUCCCCUUCCAUUUCUGCCUCCCUCUCUCUUCCUAGAAGACCGCGCCACCAACCCUAGCCGCCAUCCCAGCACCCCCUCUCCCCUCAACCUCCGCGGCCCGCCUGAGGCCCAGAUCCGGCCCUCCCGGGAACGGAUCAGCAACCGCCGCCAGCCGCCGCCUCCCUCUCCCGCAGCAACAGCAGCACCGCAGCCCCGUGCCCAAGAGGAGGAGCCCGAGGUCACCUCGCGUGACCCCCGCGCCCUGCAUCGGCGAUCCAGGCGAGCAGGUCGCCGCGCUCCAUGCCCUCCCUCUACCUCCUCCUUCCUCUGUGGCCCCUCUCCCUCAUGGAAUCCCUCCCUCUCUUUGUGCAGGAACCAUGGAAGCCGUGGUGCGUGACGCGAGCCCCGUCUCCGGCCAGAUCCGGCGAGCUGCGCUCGGAUCCAGCCGGGCCCUUGCCGUCGUGCCGUUCCCGAGUGCCAGGAACCCCCAACGGCAGCCGCGACCUCCCCCUGUUCGGCGCCGCCAUGCCCUCGUGCGGCACGGCCAAAGGAGGACGACGAGGUCGUGCGGCUCGCCCUCCCGUAGUGCGUGGGCCGGCCUCCCACGUGGCCUCGCCAGGCCCACCUCGGCCAGGCGCACCCCGGCCUCCUCCCGCGGCCCAGAUGGCCAGGAGCAAGGCCCACUCCAACUCUCCAGCGCCCAGACCGGUCCAAUCCAGCCCGAGGUGAUUUUUUUCCUUCCCUGUGCCCUUUAAUCGAUGCGCGUGCGCGUUUUAGAUAAACCGUGCUUGCCCCUGUGUAGCCCAUUAGGAAUAGUGUCAGCCCGUGUAGUUUAUUAGGAAUUUUCGGAAUUAUAUUAAUUCUAGAAAAUUAGACGGAUAUUAAAUCGACCGUAACUUUUACUCCGUAUGUCGGAUCGCGAUGAUUUAGAUAUGGUUUUCAUGUAGUUUCUCGCGUAGAAUCCGUUUUUCCAACUUGCAUAUUUAUUUGAUGCUGGUUGAUGUGUCGCAUGCCUAGAUUUACGUGCUGACCCGUUAGUAUAUUGCCCGUGUUUAAUUUUUCGUGCGUGUCCGGAUAGCCCGUAUGCCUUAGAUUAAAUGCCUACAUUUUAGGAACUAUUUUUCCAUGUAUUUUAGAAUGAUCACUGGUAUUUUUACGUGUAGAGAUCGCCGGUAGUUUAUUUUCCCGUAUGUAGGUUAUUUUCCCGCAUUUAUGUGUGGUUUUAUUUAGUUGUGCAACCCCAGAUAUCUUUUAUGUUUCCGGGGUAGAAAAAUCCAUGGGAUUUUUCUGUGCAAUUAAUUUUAACUUUUGAGCAAGUUAGUUCGUGCAAUAUUUUUCCAUGUUGCCCUGUGGUCUUUUUCGUAGGAUUUAUUCCGUGCUUCGUUUGACGGAGUUGUCAACUAGGGAGUUGUUCUUGGGUGUUUAGACUAGCCCAUGGUAUUUUUAGUUGCAAUAGAAAUGCAUGUUUAGGUGUGUUUUGCUUGCUCCCAAGUUGAUUGAAAUAGUGCUGAUUUGGAGGAGCUGAAAUAUUUCUAAGUCUGGAAUCUGUUAUAUUUUGUUGCUGUUUUGUUUUGCUUCUAUCUUUAGAUAUGUAGCUCUUUUGAGGUUGGUCCAAUGGAGUUAGUUGUACCCCUUGUGUUUCUCUAGCUUGCUGUGAAGUUUCCUGCCAUUUGGAGUCCUGUAGCUAUAGGUUUUGCUGCUGUCAAUAUUGCUUCAGAUCGAAAACUGCACUUCCAUGAGGUGUAAUUUUCACUAAGUCUGAAAUAGUGUGUGGGAAGCCAUUUUGUGACUUCUUUCCCUAGUGUUCCUUGCUGCCAUGCUAGUUGUUGUUAGUUGUUCGUAGUAGUGCUUCUUGCCCUCUUCCGUGCCAUGCCUUGCUUGUGCAUAUCGGAGUUGUGUAGCCGUAGUUGUGGGGCGUAGUAAACGCUAUGUGGCUGAUUUUGGGCAGAUUGUAUUUAUUUCUUGUUUAGCUCGUAGUUUUUGAUCCGUAGCUCCGAUUUGAUCGUGUCCUACAUGAAACUUGCUUAGAAUCUCGUGUAGUUCAUCUGCUCUUGCUUGUGGUAUGUUUUGAAGUGCUCGCGACCGUCGUUGCACACAUAUUGCAUUCAUGCCAUCUAUCUUGCGGUGCUUGUAACUUUUGAUCCGUAGCUCCGUUGAAGAUGAUCUCUAUGUGUAAAUUGCUUGUAUCGUCGCGUAGAAUCACGUUAACCUAUUUGUUUUGCUGUUUAACAACUAAUUAAAGGUGUUAAUUCAGAUCUGGUCAGAAUUGUAAAUUAACAUGUGAGGUCGUUUCGGAGGUGCUAUAUGUCAUUUCCGACCUCAUUUAAAAUGCCUAGAUAGGUAGAUUAAUUACGCUUCACCUCUUGCCAUGUUUAAUCACAUUUAAUAUUGCCGUGUAUCUAAUCGGGAUAGAACUAAAUAAUUAACGUAGAGUUUCGUCAAUAUGCAACUCGUUGCAUAUUGAACUUCACUUAACGUGUAGUGUUUGAUUGUGUGAAUUGUCAUGCCGUGACUUGCUUGUAUUCAGCUGCUCAUGCAUCAUAUGUGUUGUGCAUCGUGUGGUGAAUUCCGUGUGUUGAUUUGUGUUUCCGGUUUGUUUCAUCUCGAUAGAGUUCCGAAGCGUGUCGGAUGUGAGGACCCGCUCGACUACGUCGGUUCGUCUGCUUCACGGAGGCAUUCUUCUUCCAAGCGGGAUCUGAGGCAAGAUGAUCAUUUCCCCAGAUACCAUUACUAUCAUUGCCAUGCUAGUUUUAUCGCUGCUAUCGAUUAUGUAUCGUUGCCUACCACCUGUUAAAUAUUAGCCUCUCAACAAUGCCAUAAUAACCUUCAACCUAUUCGACCUAGCAAACCACUGAUUGGCAAUGUCACCGCUUGCUUAACCCUGUGUAGCGUUGCUAGUUGCAGGUGCAGUGGCUUCCAGGUGAAAGCAUGGGUUCCUUGUUAUAUCACCGUAUUAAAUUCUAUUUAAUUUAAUGCACCUAUAUACUUGGUAAAAGGUGGAAGGCUCGGCCUUUCUAGCCUGGUGUUUUGUUCCACCUUUGCCCCCUUAGUUUCGGCUACCGGUGUUAUGUUCCAUAAUCGAGCGCUCCUAACACGAUCGGGGUUGUUAUGGGGACCCCCUUGAUAAUUUGUUUUAGUUUAAAGCUGGUCUGGCAAGGCCCAACUUUGGUUCUACAUUUUCCCAACAUAAUAGUUUUGAUAAAUUGAAAUGCAUAGGGAGUUAGCGCUACCCGAGGAGUAAUUUUACAUAAACAGGAGGGGCCAGUGCUGAUGGUGUUGGUCCCAAACAGUCUGCCUGCGGUGCCACCGCGAGGAAACUCGAGGUUUGGCACUCGUAGCUAGUUCCAUCCGUCGUGUCCUGAGAAUGAGAUACGCGGCUCCUAUCGGGUACGUCGACACGUCGGGCGGCCUUGCUGGAUUAGUUUUACCUUUGACGAGAUAUCUUGUGCAUCGGCAUUCCGGUGAUGCUUUGGGUAAUCUCAGAGUUGAGGUUUUCCACUAGGGAAUCCGACGAGAUCGCGAGCUUUGUGAUUGAGGAUUUCUAUGCGGCUUGUGGUAAUUUGUGAUGGACUAGUUGGAGCACCCCUGCAGGGCUAAAUCUUUCGGAAAGCCGUGCCCGCGGUUAUGUGGCAACGUAGAAGCUUGUUUAACACUGCUUCUAGAUAACUUGAAGUUAACGUAAUUAAAAUAUGCCAACUGUGUGCGUAACCAUGACUGCCUCUUUCGUGAGUUCUUUCUCCGAUCGAGGACAUGGUGGGGUUAUGUCUGACGUAGGUAUGUGUUCAUGAUCAUUCAUUUGAUCAUCAGUAGUCACGUCCGUUAUGCGUAGAUCUUCCCCCUCUAAUUCCUGUACUCGUAAGUUUAGCCACCAAAUAUAUGCUUAGCCGCUGCUGCAACCUCACCACUUAACCAUACCUCACCCAUUAAGCUUUGCUAGUCUUGAUACCUUUGGAAAUGAGAUUGCUGAGUCCCCUGUGGCUCAGAGAUUACUACAACACCAGUUGCAGGUACAGGUAAAGGUUACUUGACGCGAGUGCCUUGAUUGUUCAUUUGGAGUUGCUUCUUCUUCUUCUUCAUCGAUCUAGGACGGGUUCCAGGCCGGCAGCCUGGGAUAGCAAGGAUGGACGUCGUUCUUAUUUUUCUCGUUUGUUUUCGUCCGUAGUCGGACCCUGCUCUUACUCUUGAUGAUUAUGUAAUGUACUGAUGUGACUCUGAUGUAGCUUGUGGCGAGUGUAAGCCAACUCUGUAUAUAUAUCUCUUCUUUUCAGUACAUGUACUUGUAACGAUAUCCAUUCUUGCGACACGACGAGAUGCGCUUCUAUCCCUGACGAGGCCUUCGUGCCAAAUUGAGGAUAGGGUCGCAUCUUGGGCAUGACAAAACCAUUAUAAGCUCCUAGCUAAAUAAGCAUGGCAUCAGCAACUAUGAUCUCUAAGUUGCCAUUGCAAACAUGUUUCUCUCACAAUAAAGCUGAAUCAGGCAUGAUGAGCUAGUCAUAUUUACAAAAACAAAAUAUAUCGAGUUCAUACCAACUUUUCCAGGCUCAGUCACUUCAUCAUAUAUCGUCAUUAUUGCCUUUCACUUGCACGACCGAAUAACGUGAACAAUAAUAAGAGUGCUCGUGCAUUGGACUAAAGCUGGAAUCUGCAGUCAGACACAAAGGAGAAGACAAAGUAAUAUGGCUCUUUAACAGCUAAACAUGUAUGCAUGCGAGAGCCACUAAACAUUGUAACCAUUAUCUUCUACCUUGACCCAAAGAAAAUAAAACUAUUUACACGGGAAAGCUCCCAACAAGCAAAAAGAAGAAAAAUAAAAUAUUUUUUGGUUUUUUCUCAAACUAGACAGACACACGAAAACAAAACGAGAAAAAGAAAA